AGUUAAAGGCUGUGGCUCAACCAUGGUUCGCUUUGGAAACUGUCAAACUUGAGUGCAGAAGGGGAGAGUGGAAUUCCAUGUGUAGCGGUGAAAUGCGUAGAUAUAUGGAGGAACACCGGUGGCGAAAGCGGCUCUCUGGUCUGUAACUGACGCUGAGGCUCGAAAGCGUGGGGAGCGAACAGGAUUAGAUACCCUGGUAGUCCACGCCGUAAACGAUGAGUGCUAGGUGUUGGAUCCUUUCCGGGAUUCAGUGCCGCAGCUAACGCAUUAAGCACUCCGCCUGGGGAGUACGACCGCAAGGUUGAAACUCAAAGGAAUUAACGGGGGCCCGCACAAGCGGUGGAGCAUGUGGUUUAAUU
This 359-nucleotide ribosomal RNA is filed under the name uncultured bacterium. RNAcentral's name for it is "bacterial SSU rRNA". It matches the Rfam family "Bacterial small subunit ribosomal RNA", at positions 593 to 951 of the family's 1533-position model. The record is from RNAcentral.